AGAUGCUUGGGAACUAUGAGUCGAGGGGUACCCAGUGCUAAAAGGAGAAGAGAGAACAGAAGAGAGAGGCAGUUGAAACAGAGUUCCUGGUUUCUUGAGUUUGUGCUGGCUGCCCAACAGGAGAUGAUUCCUGCAACUACUCUACUUCUGGAAGGAAAAUUAAGAUUAUCAGCAAGAGCACAUUUCAGCUGAAGAGAUUUCUCCUUGAGUUCUACUCCUGGGGAGGGAGCAUAAGCAAGCAAGCAAGAAAGAAAACCUUGACUCCUUUUCUGGGGGAAUCAGAUUACUUUCAGGAUGAUUAGACUAUUAAGUCCAGAACUAGAGACUCUUUUCUGAGAGGGGCUUCCCUAGGCUGUGGCUCUCACAUUCUUGAAUAAAUUUUUGUGGAACUGGAUUGGAUUCCCUGCCCAUUCCACCACUAAAUUCAGUAAAUAUUUGUUUAAUUGACAGAAUUCCUCAUUUUCCUACUCUUUACUCUUGAGUAAAUCACACUGUCCUUGAGCUCACUUCCUCAACUUGAACUGGCGUUGGUGAGUUGGGUACCCAGAGGAGCAACUGCUAUUUGGGUGGCUAUGCUCCCUGGA
This is a long non-coding RNA of Phascolarctos cinereus (koala), 584 nucleotides long. RefSeq lists it as uncharacterized. The record is from RefSeq and is a predicted model, not a curated record. NCBI's taxonomy places the organism in Eukaryota, Metazoa, Chordata, Mammalia, Diprotodontia, Phascolarctidae.